UGAAAAGAGAGAUGUGACUGGAUAAUCUU
Molecule: non-coding RNA, 29 nt
Filed under: Mus musculus (house mouse)
Lineage: Eukaryota; Metazoa; Chordata; Mammalia; Rodentia; Muridae
Source: RNAcentral